CCUACGGGAGGCAGCAGUGAGGAAUAUUGGUCAAUGGUCGGGAGACUGAACCAGCCAAGCCGCGUGAGGGAUGAAGGUACAGAGGAUCGUAAACCUCUUUUGUCAGGGAACAAAGGCGGGGACGUGUCCCCGGAUGAGUGUACCUGAAGAAAAAGCAUCGGCUAACUCCGUGCCAGCAGCCGCGGUAAUACGGAGGAUGCGAGCGUUAUCCGGAUUUAUUGGGUUAAAGGGGUGCGCAGGCGGUCUGUUAAGUCAGCGGUCAAACCCCGGGGCUCAACCCCGGCCCGCCGUUGAAACUGGCAGUCUCGAGUUGGCGAGAAGUAUGCGGAAUGCGCGGUGUAGCGGUGAAAUGCAUAGAUAUCGCGCAGAACUCCGAUUGCGAAGGCAGCAUGCCGGCUCCACACUGACGCUGAGGCACGAAAGCGUGGGUAUCGAACAGGAUUAGAUACCCUAGUAGUC
RNAcentral lists this ribosomal RNA (459 nucleotides) under uncultured bacterium. RNAcentral's name for it is "partial 16S ribosomal RNA". It matches the Rfam family "Bacterial small subunit ribosomal RNA", at positions 338 to 795 of the family's 1533-position model. The record is from RNAcentral.